AACGAACGCUGGCGGCAUGCCUAACACAUGCAAGUCGAACGAGACCUUCGGGUCUAGUGGCGCACGGGUGCGUAACGCGUGGGAACCUGCCCUUAGGUUCGGAAUAACUCCCCGAAAGGGGUGCUAAUACCGGAUAAUGUCUUCGAACCAAAGAUUUAUCGCCUUUGGAUGGGCCCGCGUUGGAUUAGCUAGUUGGUAGGGUAAAAGCCUACCAAGGCGACGAUCCAUAGCUGGUCUGAGAGGAUGAUCAGCCACACUGGGACUGAGACACGGCCCAGACUCCUACGGGAGGCAGCAGUGGGGAAUAUUGGACAAUGGGCGAAAGCCUGAUCCAGCAAUGCCGCGUGAGUGAUGAAGGCCUUAGGGUUGUAAAGCUCUUUUACUCGGGAUGAUAAUGACAGUACCGGGAGAAUAAGCUCCGGCUAACUCCGUG
Molecule: ribosomal RNA, 433 nt
Filed under: uncultured bacterium
Lineage: Bacteria
Description: partial 16S ribosomal RNA
Rfam family: Bacterial small subunit ribosomal RNA
Source: RNAcentral